UACGUAGGUGGCAAGCGUUGUCCGGAAUUAUUGGGCGUAAAGCGCGCGCAGGCGGUCUCUUAAGUCUGAUGUGAAAGCCCCCGGCUCAACCGGGGAGGGUCAUUGGAAACUGGGAGACUUGAGGACAGAAGAGGAGAGUGGAAUUCCAAGUGUAGCGGUGAAAUGCGUAGAUAUUUGGAGGAACACCAGUGGCGAAGGCGGCUCUCUGGUCUGUUACUGACGCUGAGGCGCGAAAGCGUGGGGAGCAAAC
This 250-nucleotide ribosomal RNA is filed under the name uncultured bacterium. RNAcentral's name for it is "partial 16S ribosomal RNA". It matches the Rfam family "Bacterial small subunit ribosomal RNA", at positions 524 to 773 of the family's 1533-position model. The record is from RNAcentral.